GACGAACGCUGGCGGCGUGCCUAAUACAUGCAAGUCGAGCGAAGUUUUUCUGGUGCUUGCACCGGAAAAACUUAGCGGCGAACGGGUGAGUAACACGUAAAGAACCUGCCUCACAGACUGGGACAACUAUUGGAAACGAUAGCUAAUACCGGAUAACAGCAUUAACUGCAUGGUUGAUGUUUAAAAGUUGGUUUUGCUAACACUAUGAGAUGGCUUUGCGGUGCAUUAGCUAGUUGGUGGGGUAAAGGCCUACCAAGGCGACGAUGCAUAGCCGACCUGAGAGGGUGAUCGGCCACACUGGGACUGAGACACGGCCCAGACUCCUACGGGAGGCAGCAGUAGGGAAUCUUCCGCAAUGGGCGAAAGCCUGACGGAGCAACGCCGCGUGAGUGAAGAAGGAUUUCGGUUCGUAAAGCUCUGUUGUUAGGGAAGAAUGAUUGUGUAGUAACUAUACACA
Molecule: ribosomal RNA, 457 nt
Filed under: Gemella haemolysans
Lineage: Bacteria; Bacillati; Bacillota; Bacilli; Caryophanales; Gemellaceae
Description: bacterial SSU rRNA
Rfam family: Bacterial small subunit ribosomal RNA
Source: RNAcentral